RNAcentral lists this ribosomal RNA (496 nucleotides) under uncultured bacterium. RNAcentral describes it as "partial 16S ribosomal RNA". It matches the Rfam family "Bacterial small subunit ribosomal RNA", at positions 28 to 506 of the family's 1533-position model. The record is from RNAcentral.
GAUGAACGCUGGCGGCGUGCCUAAUACAUGCAAGUCGAGCGAACAGACGAGGAGCUUGCUCCUCUGACGUUAGCGGCGGACGGGUGAGUAACACGUGGAUAACCUACCUAUAAGACUGGGAUAACUUCGGGAAACCGGAGCUAAUACCGGAUAAUAUAUUGAACCGCAUGGUUCAAUAGUGAAAGACGGUUUUGCUGUCACUUAUAGAUGGAUCCGCGCCGCAUUAGCUAGUUGGUAAGGUAACGGCUUACCAAGGCAACGAUGCGUAGCCGACCUGAGAGGGUGAUCGGCCCCACUGAGGCUGAGACCCGGUCCAGGCUCCUACGGGAGGCAGCAGUAGGGAAUCUUCCGCAAUGGGCGAAAGCCUGACGGAGCAACGCCGCGGGAGUGAUGAAGGUCUUCGGUUCGUAAAACUCUGUUAUUAGGGAAGAACAAAUGUGUAAGUAACUAUGCACGUCUUGACGGUACCUAAUCAGAAAGCCACGGCUAACUACGU